Lucilia cuprina (Australian sheep blowfly) is the source of this 556-nucleotide long non-coding RNA. RefSeq lists it as uncharacterized. The record is from RefSeq and is a predicted model, not a curated record. The transcript has 4 exons. Lineage: Eukaryota; Metazoa; Arthropoda; Insecta; Diptera; Calliphoridae.
GUGUGUGUGUAAGAAAAACUCCUAAAAGGAAAAUAUUAAAAGAAAAAAAUACAUAAAAACAAAUAUAAAAAAGCAUCAUCAACAUUUGAAAUUUUGUAAACACCCUUUAAUUUAAAUCUUUUCUUAUUAUUUAUUUGAUUUAUCCAUGCUAUGGAAAUGAACAUGUAAAUAAAGAAAUAAAAAAACCGUUGUACGUGUGUGUGAUUGAGUGUUUAACACGUACGUGUGAGUGAUUUUUCCUAUUGAAAAUUUCAUUGUAUGGUGCUGUUCUUGCCAACUUGCCCUUAGGGCCGAAAAAAUAUUUAUGAAGUUCACCAAUAACCUGAUCAAAGUCAACAUUAAUUACUUCAAUUAACUAAUGAAUUGAAAGUCCAAAGACGUUUUCAAUGGCUAUAAUAAACAAAUUAAAGAUACAAACUUACAUCAGAGAUACAUUAAUCGAAAUGUAUUCAAAUGAAAUUAAUGAAUUUCAAUACCAACAAAACCCAAACACAUCUGUCAACAAUUAAAAUUUAUGGAAGAACGAAAAAAAAAAUCAAAAAAAGCGAAAAAGUAA